RNAcentral lists this ribosomal RNA (253 nucleotides) under uncultured bacterium. Its description in RNAcentral is "partial 16S ribosomal RNA". It matches the Rfam family "Bacterial small subunit ribosomal RNA", at positions 524 to 776 of the family's 1533-position model. The record is from RNAcentral.
UACGUAGGGGGCAAGCGUUGUCCGGAUUUAUUGGGCGUAAAGCGCGUGUAGGCGGCCACACAGGUCCGUUGUGAAAACUCGAGGCUUAACCUCGAGACGUCGAUGGAAACCGUAUGGCUAGAGUCCGGAAGAGGAGAGUGGAAUUCCUGGUGUAGCGGUGAAAUGCGCAGAUAUCAGGAAGAACACCCGUGGCGAAGGCGGCUCUCUGGGACGGUACUGACGCUGAGACGCGAAAGCGUGGGGAGCGAACAGG